RNAcentral lists this microRNA precursor (64 nucleotides) under Dasypus novemcinctus (nine-banded armadillo). RNAcentral's name for it is "miRNA (ENSDNOG00000030016.1)". The record is from RNAcentral. Lineage: Eukaryota; Metazoa; Chordata; Mammalia; Cingulata; Dasypodidae.
GACCAGCUGUCCUGGUUUGCCUGGGUCUGAGGGGUAUCCUGGGACAUGGGACUUUCAGUGCAUA